ACUCCUACGGGAGGCAGCAGUAGGGAAUCUUCCACAAUGGGCGCAAGCCUGAUGGAGCAACACCGCGUGAGUGAAGAAGGGUUUCGGCUCGUAAAGCUCUGUUGUUAAAGAAGAACACGUAUGAGAGUAACUGUUCAUACGUUGACGGUAUUUAACCAGAAAGUCACGGCUAACUACGUGCCAGCAGCCGCGGUAAUACGUAGGUGGCAAGCGUUAUCCGGAUUUAUUGGGCGUAAAGAGAGUGCAGGCGGUUUUCUAAGUCUGAUGUGAAAGCCUUCGGCUUAACCGGAGAAGUGCAUCGGAAACUGAAUAACUUGAGUGCAGAAGAGGGUAGUGGAACUCCAUGUGUAGCGGUGGAAUGCGUAGAUAUAUGGAAGAACACCAGUGGCGAAGGCGGCUACCUGGUCUGCAACUGACGCUGAGACUCGAAAGCAUGGGUAGCGAACGGGAUUAGAUACCCUGGUAGGAUAGCG
This 473-nucleotide ribosomal RNA is filed under the name uncultured bacterium. Its description in RNAcentral is "bacterial SSU rRNA". It matches the Rfam family "Bacterial small subunit ribosomal RNA", at positions 335 to 801 of the family's 1533-position model. The record is from RNAcentral.